GAAAAGUACUUUGGAGAGAGAGUAAACAGUGCGUGAAACCGCUCAAAGGUAAACGGGUGGAGUUGAACUGCGAUCCUUGGGAAUUCAGCUGGUGAGCAUGACUUGUGCUUGGGCAUAUUGGCCGCCCUUCAGUGUCUGCUUAAUUGCGGGUGCCUGCCUCUGGUGGGUAUGUGUGAUGCGCUUAUCAUGUGCUGCACGCAUUGGAGGGUCUAUGGGUCUGCUUGUCAGUGCACUUUCUCAGGGUGUUCACCACGACCGGCGCUGCCGUCUGUCUGCUGUGGUCAAACUGAUCAGGUCUGAUUAACGUUGGGCUUGGUUGGGUUGGCAGGUGACUCACUGGUCCACUCUGUGGGCUAUGAGUGUUACUAGCCGGCCAUAGUGGAUCUGUACGGUGUGUCGGAGAUGGCGGCUUGGCAUGUGCGCUCUGUCCUUCAGGCGUGGUUGAGUCUGGUCAGCUUGUUGCUAGUUUCGGCUGGUCAGUUGAUGGCUUGAUCAUGUUCAGUUGGCAGCAGUGUGUGUGUCUUAGUUUGGGCCAAUAGUCUGUGGUGUUGUGGUAGACUAUCCACCUGACCCGUCUUGAAACACGGA
This 588-nucleotide ribosomal RNA is filed under the name Dendritobilharzia pulverulenta. RNAcentral describes it as "partial 28S ribosomal RNA". Lineage: Eukaryota; Metazoa; Platyhelminthes; Trematoda; Strigeidida; Schistosomatidae. The record is from RNAcentral.